This 254-nucleotide ribosomal RNA is filed under the name uncultured bacterium. Its description in RNAcentral is "partial 16S ribosomal RNA". It matches the Rfam family "Bacterial small subunit ribosomal RNA", at positions 524 to 776 of the family's 1533-position model. The record is from RNAcentral.
UACGGAGGGUGCGAGCGUUAAUCGGAAUUACUGGGCGUAAAGGGUGCGUAGGUGGUUAAUUAAGUUAUCUGUGAAAUCCCCGGGCUCAACCUGGGCAGGUCAGAUAAUACUGGUUAACUCGAGUAUGGGAGAGGGUAGUGGAAUUUCCGGUGUAGCGGUGAAAUGCGUAGAGAUCGGAAGGAACACCAGUGGCGAAGGCGGCUACCUGGCCGUAAUACUGACACUGAGGCACGAAAGCGUGGGGAGCAAACAGG